GCUCCUAUAGCUCAAUUGGCAGAGCAACUGACUCUUAAUCAGUAGGUUGAAGGUUCAAGUCCUUCUGGGAGCA
Molecule: transfer RNA, 73 nt
Filed under: Rubinisphaera sp.
Lineage: Bacteria; Pseudomonadati; Planctomycetota; Planctomycetia; Planctomycetales; Planctomycetaceae
Also listed under: 2 other names
Description: tRNA-Lys
Rfam family: tRNA
About the family: Transfer RNA (tRNA) molecules are approximately 80 nucleotides in length. Their secondary structure includes four short double-helical elements and three loops (D, anti-codon, and T loops).
Source: RNAcentral